ACGUUCGGUAGAGGAAGUGGUUAAAUUAUUUUCUUUUCCAUUAAAUAUCAAUAAACAGCGAUCAUGGAAUGAGUGUCUUGGUGUACCAGCAGAAAACACAUAUUCUAAACGAAUGAGAAUUUGCAACAAUCAUUUUACAAUGGAAAGCUUUAUAUUGAAUAAGACCCCCUUGACCUUAAAAAGAGAUGCAAAGCCUUUAAGAGUGAUCAUGAUUGUAAAUUCUAAUUUCUUACUUCUAAUUGCUUCCAUUUACUUUUAGAAUUAAAUUUACAGUUCUAAUGACAUUUUCUUUAUUCAGGAAGCACACAUUGUAACGAGUGAAUCGCUUAGACAGCCUGAACUGGAGCAAGAUAAUUUAACGGAUUCUGUCAUAGAGUUAAAUAUAACAAAAGACGCUGCCAUACCUUCCUCCGCUACAAAUCCAACAACAGAGUCAGUAUUUAAGAAGAGCCAGUCUAGUGCAACAAUCAAAGAAAAAUCACUGCGACGAAUUUUAAAGCACAAAGAGAAACAGAU
Molecule: non-coding RNA, 516 nt
Organism: Onthophagus taurus
Lineage: Eukaryota; Metazoa; Arthropoda; Insecta; Coleoptera; Scarabaeidae
Source: RefSeq, a predicted model, not a curated record